CGGAUUNUAGGCUGCAACUCGCCUACAUGAAGUCGGAAUUGCUAGUAAUCGCGGAUCAGCAUGCCGCGGUGAAUACGUUCCCGGGCCUUGUACACACCGCCCGUCACACCAUGGGAGUCGGUAACACCCGAAGCCUGUAGUCUAACCGCAAGGGGGACGCAGUCGAAGGUGGGAUUGAUGACUGGGGUGAAGUCGUAACAAGGUACC
RNAcentral lists this ribosomal RNA (207 nucleotides) under uncultured bacterium. RNAcentral's name for it is "partial 16S ribosomal RNA". It matches the Rfam family "Bacterial small subunit ribosomal RNA", at positions 1294 to 1500 of the family's 1533-position model. The record is from RNAcentral.